CCUUUUCCCGAUAAAAUCCCGGAAUUUCGCCCCAAAAUUCCGGAGUUUUUUCGUCUUUUUCCUCAUUUUCCCUUUGUUUUCCUCAUUUUCCCUUCGUUUUCCUCAUUUUCCCUUCGUUUUCCUCAUUUUUCCUUUUUUUGCCUCAUUUUUCCUUCGUUUUCCUCAUUUUUUCUUCUUUUUCCUCAUUUUUCCUUUUUUUGCCUCAUUUUUCCCCUUUUUUUGUUCAAUUUCUUUUCCUUUUUUUCCCCUGAUUUUUACCUUAUUUUUUCCCUUUAUUUUCCUAUUUUUUUCCUCAUUUUUUCCCAUUUUUUCACGGAUUUUUUCCCUCCUUUUUUCCCAUUUUCUCCUCGUUUUUUCCUCAUUUUUUCCCAUUUUUUCCUCAAUUUUUCCUUAUUUUUUGCUCCGUUUUCUCCUCAUUUUUUCUCCAUUUUUUCCUCAUUUUUUUCCUUUUUUCCCAUUUUCUCGUUUUUUCCUUUUUUCCCCUUUUCCUUUUUUUUCUCAAUUUUUCCUCAUUUUUUCUCCAUUUUCUCCUCGUUUUUUUCAUUUUUUUCCUCAUUUUUUCCUUUUUUUUCCUCAAUUUUUCCUUAUUUUUUGCUCCAUUUUCUCCUCAUUUUUUCUCCAUUUUUCCCUCAUUUUUGCUCCAUUUCCCCCCAUUUUUUUCCCCUCCUUUUUUCCCCAUUUUCUCAAUUCUUUCCCAAUUUUUCCCUCAUUCUUUUUCCAAUUUUUUCCCAUUUUCUCCUCAUUUUAACUCCAUUUUCUCCUCAUUUUUUCCCAUUUUCUCAUUUUUUCCCAUUUUCUCCUCAUUUUUCCUCCAUUUUUUUACCUUUUUCCUCCUCGUUUUUUUGCCGUUAUUUUCCCUUUUCUCCUGCGUUUUUCUCCAUUUUUUUUCCCAUUUUCCCACUGAUUUUCCUCCUUUCCCUUCCUCAAUUUCACCUUUUUUGGGCAUUUUUAAACCAUUUCUCCCCUCCUUUUUCCACCUUUUGUUUUUCCCGUUUUUCCACCGUUUUUAGGGAUUUUUUUCACUUUUUUUUUUAAUUUUUCACCCAUUUUUUUUCCCUUUUUUCUCUCAAUUUUCAUCCUUUUCUCCUCAUUUUCCAUCAUUUCAUUUUCCUCUCACUUCUUUCCCCUUUUCUGCCAUUUUUAACCCAUUUUAAUCCAUUUUCACCAAUUCUUAACCAUUUUUCACCAUUUUUAACCCAAUUUUUCACCAUUUUUCACCAUUUUUAACCCAUUUUUAAUCCAUUUUCACCAAUUUUUAACCAUUUUUCAUCAUUUUAAACCAAUUUUUCACCAUUUUUUUACCAUUUUUAACCAAUUUUCAAUUUUUAACCAGUUUUUACCAUUUUAAACCAAAUUUUUACCAUUUUUAACCCAAUUUUUCACCAUUUACCAUUUUUUUUACCAUUUUUAACCAAUUUUCACCAUUUUUAACCCAAUUUUUAACCCAAUUUUUCACCAUUUUUUAACCAUUUUUUUUACCAUUUUUAACCAAUUUUUCACCAUUUUCAACCCAAUUUUUAACCAUUUUUCACCGAUUUUCACCAUUUUUAACCAUUUUCCACCAUUUUUUAACCAAUUUUCACCAUUUUUUGAGCAUUUUCAACCACUUUUGACCAGUUUUAACCAUUUUUUCACCGAUUUUCACCAUUUUUGAACCAUUUUUAACCCUUUUUUACCAUUUUUGGACCAUUUUUAACCAUUUUUAACCAGUUUUUGGACCAUUUUUAACCAUUUUCCACCAUUUUUAACCAUUUUUAACCAUUUUCCACCGCUUUUCCCUCGUUUUUUCUCAUUUUUCCACCAUUUCCGAGCACUCUGGGUU
Long non-coding RNA from Cyanistes caeruleus (blue tit), 1822 nucleotides. NCBI's taxonomy places the organism in Eukaryota, Metazoa, Chordata, Aves, Passeriformes, Paridae. The record is from Ensembl.